GCGGCCGUAGCUCAAUUGGCAGAGCACCAGAUUGUGGCUCUGGGUGUUGCGGGUUCAAGUCCCGUCGGUCGCC
RNAcentral lists this transfer RNA (73 nucleotides) under Candidatus Methylacidiphilum infernorum. Its description in RNAcentral is "tRNA-His". It matches the Rfam family "tRNA". Rfam says of the family: Transfer RNA (tRNA) molecules are approximately 80 nucleotides in length. RNAcentral also lists the same sequence under 3 other names. The record is from RNAcentral. Lineage: Bacteria; Pseudomonadati; Verrucomicrobiota; Methylacidiphilae; Methylacidiphilales; Methylacidiphilaceae.